This 580-nucleotide ribosomal RNA is filed under the name Trichosporon asahii. RNAcentral describes it as "partial large subunit ribosomal RNA". It matches the Rfam family "Eukaryotic large subunit ribosomal RNA", at positions 87 to 656 of the family's 3401-position model. Lineage: Eukaryota; Fungi; Basidiomycota; Tremellomycetes; Trichosporonales; Trichosporonaceae. The record is from RNAcentral.
CGGCGAGUGAAGCGGGAAGAGCUCAAAUUUGAAAUCUGGCAGUCUUCGAUUGUCCGAGUUGUAAUCUAUAGAGGCGUUUUCCGUGCCGGACCGUGUCCAAGUCUCCUGGAAAGGAGUAUCAAAGAGGGUGAUAAUCCCGUACUUAACACGACCACCGGUGCUCUGUGAUACGUCUUCUACGAGUCGAGUUGUUUGGGAAUGCAGCUCAAAAUGGGUGGUGAAUUCCAUCUAAAGCUAAAUAUUGGCGAGAGACCGAUAGCGAACAAGUACCGUGAGGGAAAGAUGAAAAGCACUUUGGAAAGAGAGUUAAACAGUACGUGAAAUUGUUGAAAGGGAAACGAUUGAAGUCAGUCGUGUUCUUUGGAUUCAGCCAGUUCUGCUGGUCUACUUCCUUGGAACGGGUCAACAUCAGUUUUGUCCGGUGGAUAAAGGUAGUAGGAAUGUGACUUCUCCGGAAGUGUUAUAGCCUAUUAUCACAUACACUGGGUGAGACUGAGGACUGCAGCUCGCCUUUAUGGCCGGCCUUCGGGCACGUUCGAGCUUAGGAUGUUGACAUAAUGGCUUUAAACGACCCGUCUUG